CUGGUUCAUUAGCGGUGUUACCGGGGACCUUUCGCGUGUAAAGCGAACGUGAUAACCACUACACCACGAAACCA
This is a non-coding RNA of Cordylochernes scorpioides, 74 nucleotides long. Lineage: Eukaryota; Metazoa; Arthropoda; Arachnida; Pseudoscorpiones; Chernetidae. The record is from the annotation of a GenBank genome assembly.